Small nuclear RNA from Eremothecium gossypii ATCC 10895, 87 nucleotides. NCBI's taxonomy places the organism in Eukaryota, Fungi, Ascomycota, Saccharomycetes, Saccharomycetales, Saccharomycetaceae. The record is from RefSeq.
ACUUUAUCUCCAUAGCUAUGCCCUAUUCCUAGAUAGUUGCGGUAAACGAAUCCCAUAUAGUUAUUCACACUCUUUUGCAGAGUGGAC